AAAUAAGAUCGAAAUUUUUUUAAAUCUUUUUAAGCUUUUAAUUAUUCUAUAAGACUACAACUGUUUUAAGACUAAUGCAGCCAAUUUUGUCACUAAGAUGAACACAAUUCUACACUAUUACUAUGGUGACAACAUCUAGGACUCUGCCAGGGUAUGUUUCUUUAACUAUAAGAGUGACCUUGCACUCAGGAACCAGUAGGCGGCACUCAAACACGACACUGGGCAGGGGACUUUGCUCACCCCCUAGUUAGGAAGCUCAUUUGAUACCCGUGGAGCAACAGGGAGCAGUGACCCAAACUUGUGCCUCGGUAAAAUUCCUGAUCGUGGACUCUUGCGAAUGCUUCUGGCUUGUUAAAUCCAAGAUCACCAAGAGGUCAACAGUAAGGUUUUAUCAAAAAACGGGAGUACCAUGCAAUGAUUAAAACUGAUACCUGUGACGGCGACAGGAAAAAGUUUCCAUAAAUGCUGCAUAAGCAAAAGAAAAGCACAAAAUUUUAGAAAGAUCUUGUAACUGCCGAAUAAGGUAAAACAGUGAUUAAGUCUGAACGAAAGUUUUAAGAUUCUUAUUUCUUUUUAUUGUAUCUUAAGGUAUAUUUAAUAAUAAAAAUGUUUUAGAAAACACAGUUUUAGAAGGCAAAAUUAUUUAGAUGGGAAUAGUAUUUUAUCCAUUUGGUCUUGAACAUAUGUUUUGGUUUUAAAUUUAAUUCUAAUCUUUUAACACUUGCCUUUGUACAUAUACAUGUCCUAGGCUGCAUUAUAGAUGGGACUGCUCAUCUCAAAGAUGCCUGCUUCUGUGUGCUGGCCUUGGGAUAAAGGUACACAGAGCAAAAGAUUUAGGUGGUACACAGUAAUACGGCCAAUUAUAACAAUGCUAUAUCUAACAUCUCCAUCCAUGAUCAGAUUAACGGAUGAGAGGUAGACUCUGCUGAGUUUUGAGAUGCACUGAACAUUAAGGCAUUAGCUAGAUGUUACAGGUUCUGACCAAAGUUAAAUUAUCAAAGGAAUAAAUAAUUAAGUUCAUUAUGGAAAGUACAGAGUUAUGUCCAUAAAGCAAAAGAAACAAAAAAGGAAUGUGGAGUAUAAAUAUUAAAAUACAGAAAGCUUGACCUAAAAUACGUUUGCCUCUGAAAAUAAUCAGUUGCUCUCAGUUUCCAUUAUGGAUCGGAGGUAAUGGGUUCAGAAGGCAGUCUGAAGGGCUUAGGAUAACUAAUUAAGAAACCGCUCAACUGCUAAACAAAAAACCAGUGCCAUCAAAUGCAGCUGUAAAAGCUCCCCAUCAAGUUAAUUUUCUAAAUCGGAGGUUUUCAACGGGGGUUGGAAUCCCUCUAGGAGGCAUUCUAGAAAUUGGUGGGAGCACUUUUGUCUUCCAGUCUAAUCUUUUCCUUUCAUUUCUUCUUUAUGCCACAGCUAGAGCAUAAUAUUGAUUUAUUCAAACCUCCUUUUCAUUAUGAUAUAACCAACAUACAGAAAAAUGGAUAAAGUAUAAAGGUACAACUCAGCAAACAGUUGUAAAAUAACUCCUACCCAGCACCCAGAAACUCCUCAGGUGCCUCUCCCUGGCAGUCCUGACAGCUAGUAAAAGCAAGUGUUUUCACUUUGUUCUUCUUCAUAGGUGACCUGGUUAAUUUUGACCCUUUAUACUUCUUUAUAAACUUUAGAAUCAGCCUAUUAAAUUCCACUGGGGGGAGAAAAACAGUGAUAUCCUUUAGAGGGUUAUAUUAUAUUGAUUUUUUUUUAAUUUAUUUUUGUGGGUAGGUUAUAUUUUCCACGAAUUUUAUUUCAGGAUGGUAAGGGCCAUUACAUAAUGUUUCUUAUAAAAAGGGAAUGUUGUUGCUCUUAAGGAUAAGAACCAAUGUCCUCAACGAAAUAAAAAUGUGGUCCUCUCCCUUAGUGAAUGGGGAUUUAAUAUCCAAGACGAAGUCUUCUACAAAACCCAAAACUCACUCAAGGUGAUCCCUGAGACCAUCCCCAUUUGAAAACCUUUCUGAGAUGUCAUGACUUGUCCAUCUAAUUAUGAUACACAGGGUUUUCUAGGUAUAGGUGUACCCUGAUAUCCUUUAGAGGUUUAUGCGAUUUUAUCGAAAUCCAUUAACUCCUUCACAAAUUAUCUAAAGAUGAUCAAAGGACACACUAAUGCCAAAUAGGUCAAUAUCAAUAAAUUCCUGUUUAUUUUGGCACUUAAAGCCAACACAGUUAACAAAACUUGAAAUCUGUAGUUCCUGUCGUGUGGCUCAGUGGUUAAUGAACCCGACUAGCAUCCAUCAGGACACAGGUUUGAUCCCUGGCCUCGCUCCGUGGGUUAAGGAUCCGGCAUUGCCAUGAACUGUGUGGUGUAGGUCACAGAUGCAGCACGGAUCCCACAUUGCCAUGGCUGUGGAGCAGGCCAGCAGCUAUAGCUCUGAUUGGACCCCUAGUAUGGGAACCUCCAUAUGCCGCAGGUGUCGCCCUAAAAAGACAAAAUAAACAAAUAAAUAAAAUCCAGAUCUGUUGGACUAUACAUUCAAGAUGAAUAAAUGAUUAUAUUUUUAAAUUGUUCAUGACAGGAUCCAUGCCAUGUUCAGCACUUUCAUUUACUGGCUGUAUGACCUUGGACAAGUUACUUGAUCUUUCAGAAGCUUUGUUUCCUUAUGGGUAAAACAGAAAUAAUAUUGACGUUCAACUUUUUGUAUAAAUUAGUAGAGAUGAGUAUGCAAAGCAACUAGGAGCUAGGUACCUAAGAGGAACUAAAUAAGUGAGGACCAUUAGUAUUAUUUUUAUACUCACUGAUUGACUUGUGAAUGACUGAAUGAAUUUCAAUGGGUUAUGUCUCAAAGGCAUUUGCAUUUUAAGCCUUUUACUUCUAAUUGUGGAAUGAAAAUCUUUCUCUCCUUUAAAAGAACUUCAGGCAUCAGCAAGCAGAUGGUAUAGUCCAUUCAAAAUUCAUCCCACAAGGUCAUACUGUCCAUUCAGUUUAUAAGCAAGAAAUUCUGAAGCAGUUGAGAAAUUCUCUGCAAUACAGGAAAAAAUGUAAUAUUGCCCUACAAUUGGCUCAGUGACAAAGCUCCAGUUCACUGUAAAUUUUCUGUCAAUUAAGGACCACCAGUAUUAGGCAGAUUUCCCACCCUACUGUGCUUGAAUCAGAAUGAGUUACAAAAGUUUCCGAAAGUUAAUCUAUCUUCCAAAUAUAGAGAUAUUUUCUACUGAAAAUAUUCAGAAGAAUAUACUAGAAGACAGUAUGAUGUAUAGAAAAAGCAAUGAACUUGCAGCCAAGAGAAGUGGGCUUUCAUUUUCAUUCUAACACUUAGACAUUAGUGUGACAUUAGGCAGUGCAUUAAGUCUCUACAGGUUUCAUUGCUUCAGCUAAAAAAUGAGAAGGAUGACUUAUAGUCCUUCAAGCUCUGAGAUUCUGUGUGAAAGGCAUGUGCAAGAUGAGGGUAUGAGAGAAGGAAUUCACAUUGGAUUUAAUGGCAAACCCACUCCAGAAGCUAAACCUGAAAGAAUUUGUGGUGCCUUUAUAAAAAGGAGGGUCACAAAGGACCUCCAGAAGAGGAGAGGCUGUCUAGAGCUGGUACAAGCCCACUCCUGGGUGUAGCAGGGAAUAAUGAAUAACUCUGACACGGUACAAUGUCCAGUGACUGGACUGGAUACAGAACCAUCCAAUCCUCAUCACUCUCUUACUUAAAGGACAUUUAUCUGACCAGAAGCUUCAAUUCCCAGUGUUCCCAGAAUGCCAGGUGCACUCUCUCUAUGCUCAGCACCUACAACCCAGGCUGGCAUGACCUCUCUACAGCAGCACCAGAAUGCUCACACUGCCCCUCCUGGGACACUGUACCUU
RNAcentral lists this long non-coding RNA (3814 nucleotides) under Sus scrofa (pig). Its description in RNAcentral is "lncRNA (ENSSSCG00060028997.1)". The record is from RNAcentral. Lineage: Eukaryota; Metazoa; Chordata; Mammalia; Artiodactyla; Suidae.